GUGAGUGUAGCUCAGUUGGUUAGAGCACUGGUCUGUGGAACCAGGGAUCGUGGGUUCAAGUCCCAUCACUCACCCCA
This 77-nucleotide transfer RNA is filed under the name Armatimonadota bacterium. RNAcentral describes it as "Armatimonadetes bacterium (groundwater metagenome) tRNA-His". It matches the Rfam family "tRNA". From Rfam's summary of the family: Transfer RNA (tRNA) molecules are approximately 80 nucleotides in length. Lineage: Bacteria; Bacillati; Armatimonadota. The record is from RNAcentral.